AUCUUUGCCACGGUUUUUGGUUCCGUAUCUCCCUGUCGCUAUGGUGAGAACGGUGAAAAGGGAAUCAGGUGUAAAUCCUGAACAGACCCGCUGCUGUAAAAUCCGUUUCAAAUCUUGAAUAUACCCAAUUAGCCACUGUCCGCAAAGCGGAUGGGAAGGCAUUCAAAGAUGGAUAAGUCAGAAGACCUGCCAAAAAUGAUAUAGUUUU
This 208-nucleotide non-coding RNA is filed under the name Bacteroides oleiciplenus. The record is from RNAcentral. Lineage: Bacteria; Pseudomonadati; Bacteroidota; Bacteroidia; Bacteroidales; Bacteroidaceae.